CCCCCCCCCCCGGCCACUUUUCCCUGCACGGCCAAACCUGCCUGACCUACCACCCCCCAAAUCCCAUGCGCCCGCGACGCCCCAAACCACACCACCACCAACCGCUCGCCGCCGCCGCGCGGCUGAUUAUUCCUGUGACAAACCGAGCGGCGUCUCGCCGCAGACGACAAGUGCUCGCCUCUCUCUCCCGUUGCUUUCCUUCCGAGAGAUGCUACGUACUACUACUCCGGUAAAGUGCCAAGAGACGACGAGGAGGGCGUUGGAUUAGCGAGAGAACAAGGAGAAGCGCCCAACAGGAGAGGAGCUGAUAUCCUUUAUCCUCCUCCUCCUGCUUGCUUUCGUCCCUUUUGAGGAUUGUUAGUGUAGCAGUAGUACUUGCUUUUGUUCCAUUCUUUAGGGUUUGUGCCCCUAAAGAAUGGCUUAAACAUUCUUUCGGCAAAUGCGUGUGCUCUUGUCUUUAAUGACUGUUUGUCUUAGCAGGGUAGGAGUAGGUUCUAGCCUUUUGUUCCUGUAGUUUGUACUACUACUAGGAUCAUUUCAGGUUUGGGUUGCUUUUUCAAAGACAAAUUGCGUGAAAUAUAUUCUUUUCUGC
RNAcentral lists this small RNA (592 nucleotides) under Oryza sativa Japonica Group (Japanese rice). Its description in RNAcentral is "sRNA Os03g0769025". The record is from RNAcentral. Lineage: Eukaryota; Viridiplantae; Streptophyta; Magnoliopsida; Poales; Poaceae.